UAGAGUUUGAUCCUGGCUCAGAUUGAACGCUGGCGGCAGGCCUAACACAUGCAAGUCGAGCGGUAACACAGGGGAGCUUGCUCCUUGGGUGACGAGCGGCGGACGGGUGAGUAAUGCCUGGGGAUCUGCCCGAUAGAGGGGGAUAACUACGGGAAACUGUAGCUAAUACCGCAUAAUGUCUACGGACCAAAGUGGGGGCUCUUCGGACCUCAUGCUAUCGGAUGAACCCAGGUGGGAUUAGCUAGUUGGUGAGGUAAUGGCUCACCAAGGCGACGAUCUCUAACUGGUUUGAGAGAAUGACCAGUCACACUGGAACUGAGACACGGUCCAGACUCCUACGGGAGGCAGCAGUGGGGAAUAUUGCACAAUGGGCGCAAGCCUGAUGCAGCCAUGCCGCGUGUGUGAAGAAGGCCUUCGGGUUGUAAAGCACUUUCAGCGGGGAGGAAGGGUCACUAGUUAAUACCUAGUGGCAUUGACGUUACUCGCAGAAGAAGCACCGGCUAACUCCGUGCCAGCAGCCGCGGUAAUACGGAGGGCGCAAGCGUUAAUCGGAAUUACUGGGCGUAAAGCGCACGCAGGCGGUUUGUUAAGUCAGAUGUGAAAUCCCCGAGCUCAACUUGGGAACCGCAUUUGAAACUGGCAAGCUAGAGUCUUGUAGAGGGGGGUAGAAUUCCAGGUGUAGCGGUGAAAUGCGUAGAGAUCUGGAGGAAUACCGGUGGCGAAGGCGGCCCCCUGGACAAAGACUGACGCUCAGGUGCGAAACGCGUGGGGAGCAAACAGGAUUAGAUACCCUGGUGGUCCACGCUGUAAAC
RNAcentral lists this ribosomal RNA (812 nucleotides) under uncultured bacterium. RNAcentral's name for it is "bacterial SSU rRNA". It matches the Rfam family "Bacterial small subunit ribosomal RNA", at positions 1 to 807 of the family's 1533-position model. The record is from RNAcentral.